RNA transcript from Salmo salar (Atlantic salmon), 3899 nucleotides. It is a transcript of the gene named zinc finger protein aebp2, with no coding region annotated. NCBI's taxonomy places the organism in Eukaryota, Metazoa, Chordata, Actinopteri, Salmoniformes, Salmonidae. The record is from RefSeq and is a predicted model, not a curated record.
CACUAUUUAUCCCCGCCCCGCUACGCUUCUGUCCAAUGUGUACACCAGGCCAGUCGUGUGACAAAUGACGAUGGGCAGUACAGCAGUAGCUGUGGAAAUCGUGAACGUAGCCAUUGGUGUUCUGCAAACAUGGCUACCGAUGCUUCUGAGUUGGAGACUCCCGUAUUGAUCGAGGAAAACAGCGAAAUGCGUACAGAAAAGACCGAAAAGGAAAAGCAGCAAGAUCCAGAAGCAGUGAAAGAUGAGGCGGGUGAUAGCUGUGCAGAUGCACCGCUGAAAAUUGCGGAAGCGGUUGCGGAAUGCGUGCAAGACGGAGAAGUAGGGGAUGGGAAACCUGCUGCAGAUGAGGAGGCCGUGGCUGUCGGAGCGGUAGCUUCUGCGGAAGCGGUAGUGGUGGUGACAGUGGCAACAGUCGUAGCAGCAACAAGGGACGCGAAUGAUGACGUGGUGGUGGGAUGCCAACUUGCCAAAUCAGAGGAAGAUAGCCCGGUCCCGGAGGACGAUGUUGAUACUAGUGAUAAUGUUUUUGACGAUACGGUAAAGGAAAUAGAAAUAAAACCAGAAGAGCGCCAGUUGCCUGUUAUAGUGCGUGAAAGGCAUAGUUGCGUGAAAGGCAAAGACACCAGUGAGGAUGCCCCGGAGUCUGCGGAAGAGAAAACAAACACAGGAGGCGGGGACAAGAGGAGAGCCAGUGUAGAAAUGUCAUCCUCGGACGGAGAGCCACUCAGCCGGAUGGAUUCAGAGGACAGUAUCAGCAGUACCCUAAUGGACAUGGAGAGCACGGUAUCCAGCGGGCGUUCCACCCCAGCUAUGAUGAAUGGACAGGGCAGUGCCGCCCAGUGCCACUCCACUACCAAGGGCCAGGCGGUUGGCUAUACCUGUUGCUGGGACCAGUGUGGCCUCUGCUUCACCUGCAGCCCUGACCUGGCUGAACACAUCAGGGGCGUGCAUGUCGAUGGACAAAGAGGAGGGGUGGGUAGAACCAGGGUGUUUGUGUGUCUGUGGAAGGGCUGUAAGGUGUACAACACCCCUUCCACCAGUCAGAGCUGGCUCCAGAGACACAUGCUGACACACAGCGGAGACAAACCCUUCAAGUGUGUGGUCGGGGGCUGCAAUGCCAGUUUCGCGUCCCAGGGGGGGCUUGCGCGUCAUGUUCCCACCCACUUCAGCCAGCAGAGCUCCUCUAAGCUGUCCAGUCAGGGCAGACUGAAGGAGGAGUCACCCUCUAAGGCGGGGCUUAAUAAGAGAAAGAAACGAAUCCUGAUGAACAAACGCAGGCGCUCCCUACUGUCUCCUCUCCCACCAGCGAGGCCCCAUGACUUCUUCGAUGCCCAGACCAUGGACGCCAUCAGACACCGGGCUAUCUGCCUUAACCUGGCCACACACAUGGAGAGCACAGGCAAUGGACACAGUGUGGUGUUCCACAGCACGGUGAUAGCCAGGAGGAAAGAGGGCUCUGGGAAGGUAAAGGUGCUGCUCCACUGGACUCCAGAGGACAUCCUGCCUGAUGUGUGGGUGAACGAGACGGAGCGUUCUCAGCUGAAGACUAAAGUGGUUCACUUAUCCCAGCUACCACAGGACACCGCUAUGCUACUAGACCCCAACAUCUACAGAGCGUUACCACAGAAUCAGCUGAAGCGAAGUCUGUAAGGAGUCUUCUGUGGACAGAGGACUACAGAAGGGAAGAACUCCUGUUCUUAGGAUGUGGGCCUAUAUGGGAGCCUCUAAGUCUUGAAAGGAGGAGAGGAGACUAGCAGAAGGGACCCUGGACAGAGGAGAGAUGUUACAUCCUUUUUCUGGAGGCGGGAUAGGCAGGGCUGUUGCGUCAGUCAGUCUUCCCAUUCCCAUCAACCAAGCUGACAGUCACAGACUCAUGGUCUGUUCGCUCACUCCACUAAUCUACUCAUUAUCUACAGGCCAGAGGACUAAGAAAAGGCAAAAGUGAGGAGAGGCAAGAGAGGAGAGUCAGGAGAGGCAUCUCAGUCAUAUUCCACCAUAGCACAGCAGCAGUACAACUCUGUACUGUACAUACUAUUCAUCACCCCCCUUUAACACCUGGCCUGUCUUUUGGGAGGCAGGUUGACAGGCUGUCAUAUUGCCUUACUUAUGUGUGCCUUACACAUAUGUCGUGUGUGUGCGCAUCUGUCAUGUAUCACUGACUAGGUCAGGUUAUUGAACAAACAAAUCAGUGAUGGGAAAUAAGCUUGGGAAUUGUUCAGCUGUGGCAGAGCAAAUUUGUACACCUCUGAACAUUAACUAUGAAUGUCAGUGUUAAAGAAUGCCUGUAUUUGUCAUGUGGCUAGGUGUGGUCCGGUGUUCAGAGGGCAGAGUGAGACCAGAUAUCUCUAUGUUCUGAUCACAGCCCUGUAAUCUGACCCUCAAACACCAGUCAGUUAAUGUCCUCAGUUCUGAGCAGUCACCAGGAAGUCAACAAGAACUCAAACAGUAAUCCCCUAAAUUAGAUACAAAAGGGGAGUUCCCCAUUUGUAAUGAGAAAAAACAUCCCCCUUUCUUGUAUACAUUUUUAUUUAAAGCUAGAAGAAGCCCGGAUUCUAUCAGCAAUGUCUGGUCGGAAGAGAAUGAUCAUAUAGUGAAAUAUGGUUUAGAAUUAGUCUUUAGGAUUAAAAAUGAUAAAAAUAAUUUCUGUGUCUUCUUGGGAACAUCAUGGUUUGAUCUUUUAAGAACACCGCUGUCAUGGCUGGCUGUUCUGUUCUAGGGAAAGCCUUGUUGGGUAGACACACAGUGGACUGGAACACAAGCUAAUUGGCGGGUUAGCCAUUACCUGUCUGUAAACUAGUGGAGGCUGGUAGGGGGAGCUAUAGGAGGACGGGCCCAUUGUAAUGGCUGGAACGGAAUAAAUGAGCCCAUCCUCCUAUAGCUCCUCCCACCAGGAUCCACUGCUGUAAAACCUACUAAAAGUCUUUGUUACAUCCUUGGAAAGCUCUGCAGUACACUUGGCAACAGAGCUCUUCCCUCAUUGUGCUUGGGCCAGACUCCUUAUUGGCUUAAGAGCAAUAGAGAUGCGAAUCCAAUGUUUGAUUGUCUGUGAUGCAUACCCACACAUACCAACAAACUCUGUCAUACACAGUCACACAAACAAACUUUCACACGAAUACACCCAGUCUACACAGUCCCAAGUUAUUUCCAUAUCUGGCAAUGGGGUAAGGGGGACAUUUCAUCCAGUGAUGAGCGAGGGAGAGAGACCACACAGGAUGCGGAAGGAGAAUAAUUGUUACAAACCACUAAAGCCUUGAACAAAAAAAGGAAACCACAAGGGGAGAGGCAGCGAGCCAAUCAGAUUCUGACGACAACUGCAUUAAUCAAAGAAGGGUUCUGCUUGGUCUUGGAGAUGGGAAUAAAGAAACAAACCCAGCUGAACAGCCAUGCCUCUGUUACUGUGUUGACAGUCAGUUGAUGGGUAGUCCCUUCUAGUAAAUCUAUUUCUAUAGCGGUAGGGAUGAUGUGGGAAAGCUGUGGCAGUCCUCAUGAGAGCCAGUUUCAUCAUAUGGUUUUUGCGACUGCACUUGAAGAAAUGUUCAAAGUUCUUCACAUUUUCCGUAUUGACGGACCUUCAUGUCUUACAGUAAUGAUGGAUUGUCAAUUCUCUUUGCUUAUUUGAGCUGUUCUUGCCAUAAUAUGGACUUGGUCUUUUAACAAAUAGGGCUAUCUUCUGUAUAGCACCCCUACCUUGUCACAGCACAACUGAUUGGCUCAAACGCAUUAAGAAGAAAGAAUGGAAAUUCCACAAAAUGUACUUUCAACAAGGUUGUACAUGAUUUGUAACGGCACACACCUGUCUAUAUAAUGUAACAGCAAAAACCAAGCCAUGAGGUCAAAGGAAUUGUCCGUAGAGCUCCGAGACAAAACAUUUCUGAAGCAUUGAAGGUCCCGAAGUACAG